RNAcentral lists this ribosomal RNA (463 nucleotides) under uncultured bacterium. RNAcentral's name for it is "partial 16S ribosomal RNA". It matches the Rfam family "Bacterial small subunit ribosomal RNA", at positions 28 to 507 of the family's 1533-position model. The record is from RNAcentral.
GAUGAACGCUGACAGAAUGCUUAACACAUGCAAGUCGAUGGGGAAGUGGUGCUUGCACCAUGGCAACCAUGGCGGACGGGUGAGUAACGCGUAAGGGACUUACCUGCAGGACUGGGAUAACAGGGGGAAACUCCUGACAAGACCGGAUAAUGUCAUGGAGCUGCAUGGCUUUAUGAUGAAAGGAGACGCCUGCGGAGAGCCUUGCGUCCUAUUAGCUAGUUGGUGAGGUAAUGGCUCACCAAGGCGAAGAUAGGUAGCCGGCCUGAGAGGGUGGACGGCCACAAGGGGACUGAGAUACGGCCCUUACUCCUACGGGAGGCAGCAGUGGGGAAUAUUGGACAAUGGGGGCAACCCUGAUCCAGCAAUUCUGUGUGCACGAAGAAGGUUUUCGGAUUGUAAAGUGCUUUCAGAAGGGAAGAAGUAAGUGACGGUACCUGCAGAAGAAGCGACGGCUAAAUACGUG